ACCUCCAAAGUCUAAUAUUCUAUUCCCGAUCCCCGCGCCGUCCCCACCACCACCGAGGUGGCGGCUACCACGACCGCGAUGGAGGUUACCGCGACCGGCACCACCGCCGAGGCCGCCGCCGUUUAGCCUCCAGCGGUCGCCGAGAAAUAUAUGCAUAAAAAUCGCUUGCAAGAGUUUUGUGUGCAAACAUACAAGAAUCUGCCGAUCUACAAGGUUGAGUUUGAGGGCGAGUAUCAUCAACCUAAGUACAAAUGCACAGUAGAAGUGGAUGGUAAGCAGUUUUCAUCAACUAGUAGUUUCAGUCGUAAGAAGGAAGCAGAGCAGGAUGCUGCAAGAGUGGCUUAUGAGAUCUUGGCAACAAUUGGAGAGAGUGAUGUUAAAGAGGUCUUUGGGCUGAUCAAUCAGGAUGCGGUGUUCUGCAAAUCAAUUCUUUAUGAAUUUGCUGUCAAGACAAAAACCACUUGGCCCUCUUACUCUGUAGUUCGUCUCGAAAAGCCCUUCACCAUGUUUGUUGCAUCUGUGGUGUUUAAUGGGAAUACCUAUACUGGUGAAUCUGCAUCCAGCAAGAAGGAUGCAGAGCAGAAUGCAGCUCGUGCUGCGAUCAAGUCAAUCUUAGCUACAGAUAACUCUUGUAUGAUUGGAAUCAUUAGGUCAAAGAAGCAACUCAUUACUGCCAUCAAAUCUUCUGGAAGCACCCCAACUACUUUUACUCCUAUAAAGUUUACGCGCCCUGUUGCAUAUGCAGCAUAUGGCGGACCGGAUCAUGUAGCACCUGUGUCACAACAUAAAUCUUACUCAUUAGGUGUUCAAGGACACAGCAUUGUACCAGCAGUUGGGACAUCCGCCAACCCAUCUGCAAAAGCUGUAACUGGUUCAAAGAAGCGCAAGCGCAGAGUUGGAGCAGAGGCCAAUGAAACAAUGGUUGCCAAGGGGCAUUAACUUCUCACCCAUCAACACAAGUUUACUCAAAUUGUUAUUUCCAGUUGCAUGCCAUCGUAAUGUUUUGUGUUGAUGGUUCGCAAAGGCCCACCCCGUUAAUGGUGUGCUUAGAGUUGAUGGAAGUAACUGGCUUGCUCACAUGGUGCAGCGUGGCAUGUGCGUUUCUUCAGUAGGAUAUUUCAACUGAUAUGGGAUUGUUAUUUCCUUCCUAUCGCUCUAUAGAGCUGCAGGGUUAGGGUUAAUCAUCUUUGCCAUUGCCAAACAAAACUUCGGCGAUGUACUUAGUUCCUCCCUCCUCUUAGGACUUCUACAAGUUAACCAGUUAAUGUGGUGUCCAACUAAUGUCUGCGUAGUCUAUGUAAAGAUAUGUCCUGCGUCUGAUCAUCGCCGAUUCAUUGUGCUGGGUCCGUACAUGGUAACACAAUGUGGUAUUCUGGGAAGAAGCGAGCUUGUGCUUUCGUUCCUACUCAUGUAAACAGGUUUUUGGCAAUCAGUGAUAUGGGAAACCGUCGUUAUGUUCGCCUU
Molecule: RNA transcript, 1464 nt
Organism: Panicum hallii
Lineage: Eukaryota; Viridiplantae; Streptophyta; Magnoliopsida; Poales; Poaceae
Gene name: double-stranded RNA-binding protein 4-like
Exons: 7
Source: RefSeq, a predicted model, not a curated record